RNAcentral lists this long non-coding RNA (230 nucleotides) under Solanum tuberosum (potato). RNAcentral describes it as "long non-coding RNA (STUB_LNC011773)". The record is from RNAcentral. Lineage: Eukaryota; Viridiplantae; Streptophyta; Magnoliopsida; Solanales; Solanaceae.
GAGAUUCACCCAAUGGAUUAGGCGAUCCUCAAGCCUUCUUUUCUUCGGCCUUUCAGCUGUCUUGUUUCUUUUUGCUCAUUAGUGUCCAUGCUUUGUUCCUCAAUCCAAAUACCUGAAAUUUAAGGAUUUACAUCAGUUAUUGGCACAAAAUAUGCAUUUGAGGGUACUAAAUCUAUUAAAAAGAAGCCCUAAAUGAGGACGAUCAGAGUUCAGCUAAAGCUGAAUACAUG